GUAGAGCAAGAAGAGACAUUGCCAUUGUUCAUAGGACUGCAUUUGCAAAACUAAUAGGCAUAAAGAGGGGACAAAUGUGAGUGCCAGGACUGCUUGACCCCAAGGUUCCUGGCUCUGAAAUUUUCUCCCAUUGGAAAUCUACUCUGACUACUGCAGGACAAGCUUCCUGGCAGCAGGUAUCUCUGAUCAACACCGUAUCAGAAGAAAAUUAUUUGGAAGGGACAUGAAGCAACUUGCUUUGCUAUUUCAGGAGAUCAGCUUUAAAAUGUGAGUUACAUCAGCCCUCCCGAUCUGGACCAAAGUAUGCAGCUGUCAUUUUGAGAGAGGCUUGCUCCAAGGAUAUCACUGCUGCUGGGGAGGAAAAGCCUACCUCAUCUUCAGGGUCAUUCUGCUGUUGAUCAUAAAUCAGCUGAAAAUGACCGCAAGGUAGUUCUGCUUUCAUUUUCAAAUGAGUUCUUCAAAUCUGUGGUUCUUUUCACUAACUGGGUUUCUAGAGAAAGCUGUAAAGUGUGUGAAAUCUGCUCUGUCUGCUUUGCUGGUGAGAAGAUGGGUGGACUGAUUAAUGUCAUGGCAAUCUCAUAUGUUAGCCACUUUCCUGCUGAAUGUAACUUUACCUGCUACCCCAAUGUGACUAGACUGCACUUUGCAUUGCUGGUUUAGCUAUCCUCUUUAAUUCUGUACGUGGACAGAAAUAUUAGCAACAAACAAGAACUCUCUCCAACCUACCACAAAUUCCCUUCAGUGUUUUCUAAGUAAAAACAAUUAAAGUUCU
Long non-coding RNA from Gallus gallus (chicken), 772 nucleotides. NCBI's taxonomy places the organism in Eukaryota, Metazoa, Chordata, Aves, Galliformes, Phasianidae. The record is from Ensembl.